AUCAUUUCAAUCAAGUGUAGUAUCUGUUCUUAUCAGUUUAAUAUCUGAUAUGUCCUCGAUCUGCGCACAGGAGGCAUGUGGGGAGUGGGGGAGUGAAGAACCUGCACCCAGGAGUCAUUGGACUCCAGACCAGGGAACACCACAA
RNAcentral lists this small nuclear RNA (145 nucleotides) under Crocodylus porosus (Australian saltwater crocodile). RNAcentral describes it as "U2 spliceosomal RNA (ENSCPRG00005011354.1)". The stretch from base 11 to 68 matches the Rfam family "U2 spliceosomal RNA", at positions 27 to 84 of the family's 192-position model. The record is from RNAcentral. Lineage: Eukaryota; Metazoa; Chordata; Crocodylia; Crocodylidae.